Molecule: ribosomal RNA, 442 nt
Filed under: uncultured bacterium
Lineage: Bacteria
Description: partial 16S ribosomal RNA
Rfam family: Bacterial small subunit ribosomal RNA
Source: RNAcentral
CCUACGGGCGGCAGCAGUGGGGGAUAUUGCACAAUGGGGGAAACCCUGAUGCAGCGACGCCGCGUGGGCGAAGAAGUAUUUCGGUAUGUAAAGCCCUAUCAGCAGGGAAGAAAAAAUGACGGUACCUGAGUAAGAAGCCCCGGCUAACUACGUGCCAUCAGCCGCGGUCAUACGUAGGGGGCAAGCGUUAUCCGGAUUUACUGGGUUGAAAGGGAGCGUAGAAGGCAGUGCAAGUCUGGAGUGAAAGGUGGGGGCUCAACCCCCGAACUGCUGUGGAAACUGUACGGCUGGAGUGCAGGAGAGGUAGGGGGAAUUCCUGGUGUAGCGGUGAAAUGCGUAGAUAUUAGGAGGAACACCAGUGGCGAAGGCAGCUUACUGGACUGUAACUGACGUUGAUGCUCGAAAGCGUGGGGAGCAAACAGGAUUAGAUACCCGGGUAGUC